CCUUGAAGACGACGAGGUAGAUAGGCUGGGGGUGGAAGUGCAGCAAUGCAUGGAGCUGACCAGUACUAAUCGGUCGAGGGCUUAUCCA
Molecule: ribosomal RNA, 88 nt
Filed under: Paenibacillus sp. OK060
Lineage: Bacteria; Bacillati; Bacillota; Bacilli; Caryophanales; Paenibacillaceae
Also listed under: 3 other names
Description: 23S rRNA. Bacterial LSU
Rfam family: Bacterial large subunit ribosomal RNA
Source: RNAcentral